UAGGUCGGUGGAGCAUAAUUCAUGAGGUGGAGCCUAAUUGGCUGCCAGAGCAGGGCGGGCGCCCUAGGUGGGAGGGUGGGCACCCUAUCCCCGGGCCCGCUCGGCCUCCCGUUCGUUCGCGUGGCUUCUGGACUCUUCUAGAAGAUAGAAAAUUGGCGCACACGUUAAUAUCUCUAUGUAAACCCAACGUGUGGGCCUUUCCUCCAUAUUUCCUGAUAACCCCCUGCAGAAAUAGACAAACACCAAAACUCAUGGAAUUCUGUUAGAUAAAACCCUAAGUCUAGGUGUUGGUUGCAUUUGGAUCCUUUUCUUUAUUUAUUUGAUGAUUAAAUUUGAUACUUAAGGACCGUUAACAAACUCCCCCAAGCUUACCUCUUGCUCGUCCCUGAGCAAGGAUAGACUUAGUGAUGGAUUAGAAGCUGCUGCAAUGCCUUUAAAAGUCGACUGUACACAUGCUUUCAAAUGAUGUCUCAUCUCUGAGUUAGAGUAAACUAUUAAGACUUAAAAUUUACUCAUUUUACCUUUCACCAUGGGGCUUGCAACCAUCACUUGUGUCUUGAGUAGUUAAAAGAUAGAACGGUCUAGUCAAGCGCCAUGUCUCUUAUUCUUGAUUAGCUAUAGCUCUGGAGUUUUUGUAGAUUUUCAAAUAAAACUCAGAGAUUCCUUUGUAUGACUCUCUCAAAUCUCUCUUUUGUGGUAUUUUUGGAUCCUUACCAAGGCAGUGAUGGUAUAUGCCUUCUCUCAAAGUAUGUAGUAUUUGUGGUAUAAGGCAUAGUGACAUUGCCUUCUCUCUCACCCUACUCUAAUAAGGCUUGAUAUCUGGAGCUCAUAGGUGGGAGAUAAAGUAUACAUACUUAUAAGACAUUUAUUGCAUAGUCAAACCAUGGAUCUAGAGAAACAAGUCAAUAAGUCAAAUCAAGAUAUGCAUGUGUGGCGAGUGAAUGGUGUAUGGUGAUGAUGGUGAUAACAAUGGUAAAAGUCUAAUUCUACUUUUGCUCUUUUGAGGGGGUACAAAUCUUCCUUGCACUUGAAGCUUUUGAGGGGAAUGAGAUGCUCUAUAUUUUAUUUUUAUUUUCUCUCAGGUGGGUAUCUUGUACCCCUAAUUCUACUGCCGGACACUUGUCCAUUUUUACCUCUCGUCUCACUUUUUUUUCGAGGUUUCGGGCACUUGCCCCUUUUUAUUUCCUGGUAUUUUUCCUUUUUCUUCCCUUUUUUUAGAGCACUCACCCUCCUGGAAUAAUGUAGCAAAUGGUAGUAACCAAAAUAUCUUAAGCAUUUAUUUCACAGGGAAAACAGGAAUAAUUUUAGGUGAAUCUGGGGAUGGAAUUGAGUGGUGUAUGUGGAUGCGUACUUCUAGAGUAGAAGUAGAAUGUAUGAGUGAACGUGCAAGUGAAUCUUGAUUUUAACUGCAUGACAAGCUCCCAAGGGUCUACACAACUUGACCACACUCAAGGCUCAUAAGCAGUAAAAAGUAAAUGUAUGAUUCAUUGUCUAAUAAGCAUGUAUAUAUUGCUGUGGUAGGAUUUUAAACUCGCAUCAUACAGGAACUCAUCAUGCAAUAUUUUAAAAAUUUUCAAAGAUAAAAUUCUCUAGAAUUCUAGCAUCUCUAGGAACAGAUAAACAACAGCUCAACCUUCCCAUAUCAUAUCCAUUAACGACUUAGACUUUAGAUCAAGUUCUCUUCCCACAAGUUCAGGUUUAGAGCAAUCUUUAAAUUAUAACAGUUAUGUCUAAACUUGAGAGAGAGCUCAAAUUUGAAAACUAGGUAGUUGGCAGAGCAACUAUUCAUCAUUCCAUGUAAGAGUUUACCAUUGGAGUUCAAUUUGGCAUAGACACUUUAUUUAUUUAUUUAGCAAACUAAGCAAAGAUAUAUAUAUAAGCACAAAAUCUUUAUUUGGGUUUUUAUGAUUAUGCAUCUUUUUAUUAUUUGAGUAAAGU
RNAcentral lists this long non-coding RNA (1938 nucleotides) under Sorghum bicolor (sorghum). Its description in RNAcentral is "long non-coding RNA (SBIC_LNC012397)". The record is from RNAcentral. Lineage: Eukaryota; Viridiplantae; Streptophyta; Magnoliopsida; Poales; Poaceae.